Molecule: ribosomal RNA, 1485 nt
Filed under: uncultured Klebsiella sp.
Lineage: Bacteria; Pseudomonadati; Pseudomonadota; Gammaproteobacteria; Enterobacterales; Enterobacteriaceae
Description: bacterial SSU rRNA
Rfam family: Bacterial small subunit ribosomal RNA
Source: RNAcentral
CCAUGCAGUUCGAGCGGUAGCACAGAGAGCUUGCUCUCGGGUGACGAGCGGCGGACGGGUGAGUAAUGUCUGGGAAACUGCCUGAUGGAGGGGGAUAACUACUGGAAACGGUAGCUAAUACCGCAUAAUGUCGCAAGACCAAAGUGGGGGACCUUCGGGCCUCAUGCCAUCAGAUGUGCCCAGAUGGGAUUAGCUAGUAGGUGGGGUAACGGCUCACCUAGGCGACGAUCCCUAGCUGGUCUGAGAGGAUGACCAGCCACACUGGAACUGAGACACGGUCCAGACUCCUACGGGAGGCAGCAGUGGGGAAUAUUGCACAAUGGGCGCAAGCCUGAUGCAGCCAUGCCGCGUGUGUGAAGAAGGCCUUCGGGUUGUAAAGCACUUUCAGCGGGGAGGAAGGCGUUGAGGUUAAUAACCUUGUCGAUUGACGUUACCCGCAGAAGAAGCACCGGCUAACUCCGUGCCAGCAGCCGCGGUAAUACGGAGGGUGCAAGCGUUAAUCGGAAUUACUGGGCGUAAAGCGCACGCAGGCGGUCUGUCAAGUCGGAUGUGAAAUCCCCGGGCUCAACCUGGGAACUGCAUUCGAAACUGGCAGGCUAGAGUCUUGUAGAGGGGGGUAGAAUUCCAGGUGUAGCGGUGAAAUGCGUAGAGAUCUGGAGGAAUACCGGUGGCGAAGGCGGCCCCCUGGACAAAGACUGACGCUCAGGUGCGAAAGCGUGGGGAGCAAACAGGAUUAGAUACCCUGGUAGUCCACGCCGUAAACGAUGUCGAUUUGGAGGUUGUGCCCUUGAGGCGUGGCUUCCGGAGCUAACGCGUUAAAUCGACCGCCUGGGGAGUACGGCCGCAAGGUUAAAACUCAAAUGAAUUGACGGGGGCCCGCACAAGCGGUGGAGCAUUUGGUUUAAUUCGAUGCAACGCGAAGAACCUUACCUGGUCUUGACAUCCACAGAACUUAGCAGAGAUGGUUUGGUGCCUUCGGGAACUGUGAGACAGGUGCUGCAUGGCUGUCGUCAGCUCGUGUUGUGAAAUGUUGGGUUAAGUCCCGCAACGAGCGCAACCCUUAUCCUUUGUUGCCAGCGGUUCGGCCGGGAACUCAAAGGAGACUGCCAGUGAUAAACUGGAGGAAGGUGGGGAUGACGUCAAGUCAUCAUGGCCCUUACGACCAGGGCUACACACGUGCUACAAUGGCAUAUACAAAGAGAAGCGACCUCGCGAGAGCAAGCGGACCUCAUAAAGUAUGUCGUAGUCCGGAUUGGAGUCUGCAACUCGACUCCAUGAAGUCGGAAUCGCUAGUAAUCGUAGAUCAGAAUGCUACGGUGAAUACGUUCCCGGGCCUUGUACACACCGCCCGUCACACCAUGGGAGUGGGUUGCAAAAGAAGUAGGUAGCUUAACCUUCGGGAGGGCGCUUACCACUUUGUGAUUCAUGACUGGGGUGAAGUCGUAACAAGGUAACCGUAGGGGAACCUGCGGCUGGAUCACCUCC